RNAcentral lists this ribosomal RNA (429 nucleotides) under Actinomycetes bacterium. Its description in RNAcentral is "Actinobacteria bacterium partial 16S ribosomal RNA". It matches the Rfam family "Bacterial small subunit ribosomal RNA", at positions 355 to 776 of the family's 1533-position model. Lineage: Bacteria; Bacillati; Actinomycetota; Actinomycetes. The record is from RNAcentral.
UAGGGAAUCUUCCGCGAUGGGCGAAAGCUUGACGGAGCAACGCCGCGUGAGUGAUGAAGGUCUUCGGAUCGUAAAACUCUGUUAUUAGGGAAGAACAAAUGUGUAAGUAACUAUGCACGUCUUGACGGUACCUAAUCAGAAAGCCACGGCUAACUACGUGCCAGCAGCCGCGGUAAUACGUAGGUGGCAAGCGUUAUCCGGAAUUAUUGGGCGUAAAGCGCGCGUAGGCGGUUUUUUAAGUCUGAUGUGAAAGCCCACGGCUCAACCGUGGAGGGUCAUUGGAAACUGGAAAACUUGAGUGCAGAAGAGGAAAGUGGAAUUCCAUGUGUAGCGGUGAAAUGCGCAGAGAUAUGGAGGAACACCAGUGGCGAAGGCGACUUUCUGGUCUGUAACUGACGCUGAUGUGCGAAAGCGUGGGGAUCAAACAGG